GCCGGUGAUCGGCGGGACCUUCACAUCCGCGGCCUUGAACGCCGCGAUCGCUCCGCCGCCGGUGCCGUCGUUGGCCGCCACCAC
This 84-nucleotide transfer RNA is filed under the name Streptomyces umbrinus. Its description in RNAcentral is "tRNA-Ser". The record is from RNAcentral. Lineage: Bacteria; Bacillati; Actinomycetota; Actinomycetes; Kitasatosporales; Streptomycetaceae.